GCCUUGUAAGCUUUCGCCAAGGAGGGGACAAUAUCUUCUGGUUUACCAUGUUGAAUUAAUAGGUCAAGUCCCCGCUUCACUAGGUUCCUUUUCAAGUCAUUUAAGCACUCUAUGAUGAAUUGAGCCCUUAAAGCUCCUGUUUUGGGCAUUCCAAAGUAAUGGGUAGUCCCAAAAAGCCUAGGAUCAACACAAUACACAGGCAAGAUUGCUUCAGAUGAAACCCAAGCUCUUAAAAGAG
This 238-nucleotide unclassified non-coding RNA is filed under the name Hevea brasiliensis (rubber tree). The record is from RNAcentral. Lineage: Eukaryota; Viridiplantae; Streptophyta; Magnoliopsida; Malpighiales; Euphorbiaceae.